AUCUAGCGUAUUAAGGAAAACGGACUCAGAACUUGGGCCUGAAGUCAGGAACGCAAGAAGCGAUCGCAUUUCUUCAGCCAUCAUCUUAAAGGCCAAAACGGCCACAAAAUAUGACUGAGUGUGUGAGCAUGCAAGUAUCUGCAGCCUGGGAAAGCACUGUGCACUGCUAGGACACAUCGGUCACGCAGGAGGAAUCUCCUACAGCUGGUGGUGGAGCUUGGGGGAACUGCUGAGGAGGUGUCUGUGUCAUCUUGGUGCAAAUGAGCCCAAGGAGCCAGGGAGGAUUUUCCUCCAGAAGAGGUUUUCGGAAAAGAAGAGGCUUGACAGCAGACACUCUGAUCAAAUUUGUCAGUGAAACAUUUCCCACAUAACCCUUAUAUGCUUUUGCGUCUGGGCACACACAAACUCUAAAACUCAGUAGAAGUGGUUGUGCCCUUGAGUGAUUAUUUAUGAAUAUCAUCAUUCCUCCCAAGGAUAUGAGGCAUACUCCGCCCAGGGCAAAUGUCUCCAUGGAGGGCUGCCUUUCAUCUGCAGAAAAUUCGCACCAUAUGUUUUCAAAAGGGAACCCCAUGUCUGCAUGGACACAAUUUUACUCUUCUCUUUGGAAGUCAGUGUUUCAGUGUGUCAUAACAAGGUCUCCAUCAUGAUGAAGGUAAAGCCUACAAUCUGCCAGGGUAAAUCAGCACCGCUGGAGCUAAAAGGACAGUCUGCUUUCAAAUGCAAAGAGCCAUCACUUCCAUUAAUCUGAAAUCCCUUUCCUCUUUAAAUAGGAGCAUUAUCUUUUAAAAACUGUAGCUAUCA
Non-coding RNA from Struthio camelus australis, 801 nucleotides. NCBI's taxonomy places the organism in Eukaryota, Metazoa, Chordata, Aves, Struthioniformes, Struthionidae. The record is from RefSeq and is a predicted model, not a curated record.